GGCGGCGUGCCUAACACAUGCAAGCCGUACGAGAAAAUCUACUUCGGUGGAUGAUUAAAGUGGCGCACGGGUGAGUAACGCGUGGAUAAUCUGCCCUUCAGUUGGGAAUAACUCAUCGAAAGGUGGGCUAAUACCGAAUAAUGCUGUACAACUUAAGUUGCACAGCCAAAGAUAGCCUCUGCAUGCAAGCUUUCGCUGAAGGAUGAGUCCGCGUACCAUUAGCUUGUUGGUAGGGUAAUGGCCUACCAAGGCGACGAUGGUUAGCUGGUCUGAGAGGAUGAUCAGCCACACUGGAACUGAGACACGGUCCAGACUCCUACGGGAGGCAGCAGUGAGGAAUCUUGCGCAAUGGGGGAAACCCUGACGCAGCAACGCCGCGUGAGUGAGGAAGGUCUUCGGAUCGUAAAGCUCUGUCAGGUGGAAAGAAAUGUAUGAAGGUUAAUAGCCUUUGUACUUGACGGUACCACCAAAGGAAGCACCGGCUAACUCCGUGCCAGCAGCCGCGGUAAUACGGGGGGUGCAAGCGUUGUUCGGAAUUAUUGGGCGUAAAGAGCGUGUAGGCGGCUGAAUAAGUCAGAUGUGAAAGCCCUGGGCUCAACCCGGGAAGUGCAUUUGAAACUGUUCAGCUCGAGUAAGGGAGAGGAAAGUGGAAUUCCUGGUGUAGAGGUGAAAUUCGUAG
This 679-nucleotide ribosomal RNA is filed under the name uncultured bacterium. RNAcentral describes it as "bacterial SSU rRNA". It matches the Rfam family "Bacterial small subunit ribosomal RNA", at positions 38 to 693 of the family's 1533-position model. The record is from RNAcentral.